This 783-nucleotide ribosomal RNA is filed under the name uncultured bacterium. RNAcentral describes it as "bacterial SSU rRNA". It matches the Rfam family "Bacterial small subunit ribosomal RNA", at positions 63 to 847 of the family's 1533-position model. The record is from RNAcentral.
CGAGCGAACACUUUGGUCAGAUUCUUCGGAUGAAGACUUUAGUGACUGAGCGGCGGACGGGUGAGUAACGCGUGGGUAACCUGCCUCAUACAGGGGGAUAACAGUUAGAAAUGACUGCUAAUACCGCAUAAGACCACAGAGCCGCAUGGCCCGGUGGUAAAAACUCCGGUGGUAUGAGAUGGACCCGCGUCCGAUUAGCUGGUUGGUGGGGUAACGGCCUACCAAGGCGACGAUCAGUAGCCGACCUGAGAGGGUGACCGGCCACAUUGGGACUGAGACACGGCCCAAACUCCUACGGGAGGCAGCAGUGGGGAAUAUUGCACAAUGGGCGAAAGCCUGAUGCAGCGACGCCGCGUGAAGGAUGAAGUAUUUCGGUAUGUAAACUUCUAUCAGCAGGGAAGAAAAUGACGGUACCUGACUAAGAAGCCCCGGCUAACUACGUGCCAGCAGCCGCGGUAAUACGUAGGGGGCAAGCGUUAUCCGGAUUUACUGGGUGUAAAGGGAGCGUAGACGGCGAUGCAAGCCAGAUGUGAAAGCCCGGGGCUCAACCCCGGGACUGCAUUUGGAACUGUGUGGCUGGAGUGUCGGAGAGGCAAGUGGAAUUCCUAGUGUAGCGGUGAAAUGCGUAGAUAUUAGGAGGAACACCAGUGGCGAAGGCGGCUUGCUGGACGAUGACUGACGUUGAGGCUCGAAAGCGUGGGGAGCAAACAGGAUUAGAUACCCUGGUAGUCCACGCCGUANACGAUGACUACUAGGUGUCNGGUAGCAAAGCUAUUCGGUGCC